GAUGUUCAUUACUACUUAUUUGAUUCUCAUAGAUGCUGACAAUGAAUAAGGACAAAGCUUUUGGAGUUGUCUUCAAGACAUUCAAGAGGGAAUGCAGGUGAAGUACAGGACUUGGCACUUUGAUUUGGCAUUGGAAGAUUUGAAGAUGGUCGUUUGGAGGCUUGGAGAUGUGAAAGAUGCCAUGAUGAUUCCAACUUUAAAGUGAUUUGUGAACUAUAAGUUCUAUUUCAGAACUUAUAUAGCUGUUGAACCAUCUACUAUUGUUUUUUGUUGAAAUUUACUCAAGUUAUGCUGCUGAAAUGUGCUUGUUUUGCUGCUGAAAUGUUA
This is a long non-coding RNA of Triticum aestivum (bread wheat), 327 nucleotides long. RefSeq lists it as uncharacterized. The transcript is spliced from 2 exons. Lineage: Eukaryota; Viridiplantae; Streptophyta; Magnoliopsida; Poales; Poaceae. The record is from RefSeq and is a predicted model, not a curated record.